Molecule: ribosomal RNA, 393 nt
Filed under: uncultured bacterium
Lineage: Bacteria
Description: partial 16S ribosomal RNA
Rfam family: Bacterial small subunit ribosomal RNA
Source: RNAcentral
AUACGGAGGAUGCGAGCGUUAUCCGGAUUUAUUGGGUUUAAAGGGAGCGUAGGUGGGAUAUUAAGUCAGCUGUGAAAGUUUGGGGCUCAACCUUAAAAUUGCAGUUGAUACUGGUUUCCUUGAGUACGGUACAGGUGGGCGGAAUUCGUGGUGUAGCGGUGAAAUGCUUAGAUAUCACGAAGAACUCCGAUCGCGAAGGCAGCUCACCGGGCCGGAACUGACACUGAUGCUCGAAAGUGCGGGUAUCAAACAGGAUUAGAUACCCUGGUAGUCCGCACAGUAAACGAUGAAUACUCGCUGUUUGCGAUACACAGUAAGCGGCCAAGCGAAAGCGUUAAGUAUUCCACCUGGGGAGUACGCCGGCAACGGUGAAACUCAAAUGAAUUGGCGGGG